GACGAACGCUGGCGGCGUGCUUAACACAUGCAAGUCGAACGGAAAGGCCCUGCUUUUGUGGGGUGCUCGAGUGGCGAACGGGUGAGUAACACGUGAGUAACCUGCCCUUGACUUUGGGAUAACUUCAGGAAACUGGGGCUAAUACCGGAUAGGAGCUCCUGCUGCAUGGUGGGGGUUGGAAAGUUUCGGCGGUUGGGGAUGGACUCGCGGCUUAUCAGCUUGUUGGUGGGGUAGUGGCUUACCAAGGCUUUGACGGGUAGCCGGCCUGAGAGGGUGACCGGCGACAUUGGGACUGAGAUACGGCCCAGAAUCCUACGGGAGGAAACAGUGGGGAAUAUUGCACAAUGGGCGGAAGCAUGAUGCAGCAACGCCGCGUGCGGGAUGACGGCCUUCGGGUUGUAAACCGCUUUCGCCUGUGACGAAGCGUGAGUGACGGUAAUGGGUAAAGAAGCACCGGCUAACUACGUG
RNAcentral lists this ribosomal RNA (468 nucleotides) under uncultured bacterium. Its description in RNAcentral is "partial 16S ribosomal RNA". It matches the Rfam family "Bacterial small subunit ribosomal RNA", at positions 28 to 507 of the family's 1533-position model. The record is from RNAcentral.